This 69-nucleotide transfer RNA is filed under the name Capra hircus (goat). It matches the Rfam family "tRNA". Rfam says of the family: Transfer RNA (tRNA) molecules are approximately 80 nucleotides in length. RNAcentral also lists the same sequence under 1 other name. Lineage: Eukaryota; Metazoa; Chordata; Mammalia; Artiodactyla; Bovidae. The record is from Rfam by way of RNAcentral.
CCUGGUGGCUCAGACAGUAAAGAGUCUGCCUGCAAUGCAGGAGGCCCAGGUUCGAUCCCUGGGUCAGGA